CCCCGCUUGGUGUAGUUGGUUAUCGCGUCCGGCUGUAAUUUCAAUAGUCGACUUUCGGCACACCGAAAGCAAACCGGAAGGCCCCCAGUUCGAUUCUGGGAGCGGGGA
Molecule: transfer RNA, 108 nt
Rfam family: tRNA
About the family: Transfer RNA (tRNA) molecules are approximately 80 nucleotides in length. Their secondary structure includes four short double-helical elements and three loops (D, anti-codon, and T loops). Further hydrogen bonds mediate the characteristic L-shaped molecular structure. tRNAs have two regions of fundamental functional importance: the anti-codon, which is responsible for specific mRNA codon recognition, and the 3' end, to which the tRNAs corresponding amino acid is attached (by aminoacyl-tRNA synthetases). tRNAs cope with the degeneracy of the genetic code in two manners: having more than one tRNA (with a specific anti-codon) for a particular amino acid; and 'wobble' base-pairing, i.e. permitting non-standard base-pairing at the 3rd anti-codon position.
Source: Rfam